UUUCAAUGACUAACAACCUUCUCAUUUUAUUUUUUUUUCUCGUUGCUAUGCACCGUGUCACCAACAAUCCAUGCACUUUUUAUUGUUCUUCACUUAACGAUUGCAUCGCUCGCAAAGAAGGGAUUAGGGAGUGGAUCAACGGUUUUUCUCGAUAAGAGAUGGCAAUGAUUCUGUUCCAUGAUCCGAGAAUUUGGGUACUUGGAUCUUUAUUACCGUGUGGAAGAGGUUGUUCUUUUGCUUCAUAUCCUGGUGUUUGGUUUCACUUCAGGCGGCGCUUGUGAAUUGAAAGCUGAGCGGUGGGGAGGAGACGUAUUUCGUUGGCUUGGCCCGAGCUUGCUUUGAAGGAGCAAUAUUCUUCUGGGAGGUAGGCAGCCCUAUUCUCGCAUGUGGAGUGGUUGUUUCUAUAUUUCAAAUGCAUUAUAUCCAAAUUACAAUGGAUCAACAUUAUCAUUGCACCAAAAUCUAUCUUAUACGCACAUGCAUGAUUUGC
This is a non-coding RNA of Elaeis guineensis (African oil palm), 490 nucleotides long. The record is from RefSeq and is a predicted model, not a curated record. NCBI's taxonomy places the organism in Eukaryota, Viridiplantae, Streptophyta, Magnoliopsida, Arecales, Arecaceae.